AUUGAACGCUGGCCGCAGGCCUAACCCAUGCCAGUCGAAAGAGUGGCGGACGGGUGAGUAAUGUCUGGGAAACUGCCUGCUGGAGGGGGAUAACUACUGGAAACGGUAGCUACUACCGCAUACCAUCAGAUGUGCCCACAUGGGAUUAGCUAGUAGGUGAGGUAACGGCUCACCUAGGCGACGCUCCCUAGCUGGUCUGAGAGGAUGACCAGCCACACUGGAACUGAGACAGGGUCCAGACUCCUACGGGAGGCAGCAGUGGGGAAUAUUGCACAAUGGGCGCAAGCCUGAUGCAGCCAUGCCGCGUGUAUGAAGAAGGCCUUCGGGUUGUAAAGUACUUUCAGCGGGGAGGCGUUACCCGCAGAAGAAGCACCGGCUAACUCCGUGCCAGCAGCCGCGGUAAUUC
RNAcentral lists this ribosomal RNA (406 nucleotides) under uncultured bacterium. RNAcentral's name for it is "partial 16S ribosomal RNA". It matches the Rfam family "Bacterial small subunit ribosomal RNA", at positions 30 to 526 of the family's 1533-position model. The record is from RNAcentral.